GGAAGUUUGAGAGGGGUGGGAAGGGACUUUCUAUUUCCCGAGUUUUCUUAUUGCUAGGCUCUUUACAUUUACAGACUUGAUCUCAUUUCUUGAUCUCAUUUAAUCCUCUUCACAUCCCUGUGAGACUGGAAUUGCCAUCUCUGCUUAGCAUCAGGGACCUAAGGGUCGGAGAGAUUAGGUAACUUGCUCAGGUCACACAGCUGGUAAAUGGACACCCCAGUGUUCAAAGCCAGAUUUGUCUGACCCCAAAGUCUAAGAACCCAGAGGUAAACAGUGAUACCCAGUGAGUAGUCUGGAGGCCGAGGAGAGUGAUCACUGACCAGAAGAGGCUUCCUGCAUGAAGUGGAUCUGGAGUCCCUGAGGAUGAGAGAGGUUCAUUCAAAGCGAAAGGACUGGAGGGAUGGCUGAAGACUGAUGCUAGAGUUCUGUCUCCCCAGUACCUGGGAGCCACUUGAAGACAGUGACGGGCUCUAAUCCACUCUUGUAUUCCCGCACCUGUGCCUGGCACACAGGUGGACCCAUGGGGCCUGCAGUCACUCUGGCCGACCCUUCGAC
Ovis aries (sheep) is the source of this 555-nucleotide long non-coding RNA. Lineage: Eukaryota; Metazoa; Chordata; Mammalia; Artiodactyla; Bovidae. The record is from Ensembl.